AGCCCACUCGCGCGUCCCCUCCACCAAGAGCCACAAGAUCCCUGCCGAAAGUCUUAUCUAUUUUAUGCUCUUUCCCGUCGAAGGUGCACUCUGAACAUGCGUUAAAAUGUGUAAAAAAGUAGUAGUGCACGUGUAAAUGUAAAUAGUGGCGACCUCUAAAAAGAGCGUCCGCAUUCAUUAAUGAUCCUUCCGUAGGUGAACCUGCGGAAGGAUCAUUAAUGAAAAGCGCUCUUUUUUAGAGGUCCGACCAACUCAUUUACCUUUACACUGUGCACAUACUACUUUUUUACACAAAUUUUAACGCAUUAGUUUAAGAAUGUAAAAUCAGUCUCAAAGAGCAUAAAAUAAAUAAAACUUUCAGCAACGGAUCUCUUGGCUCUCGCAUCGAUGAAGAACGCAGCGAAAUGCGAUACGUAAUGUGAAUUGCAGAAUUCAGUGAAUCAUCGAAUCUUUGAACGCACCUUGCACUCUUUGGUAUUCCGAAAGUAUGUCUGUUUGAGUGUCAUGAAACUCCCAACCCCCUCAUUUUGUAAUGAAAUGUAGCGUGCUUGGUUUAUGGCUGUCUGUCGGCGUAAAUGCCGGCUCAGCUGAAAUAUACGAGCAACCCAGUUUAAAUACUUGACGGCUUGACUCGGCGUAAUAACUAUUUCGCUGAGGACGUCUAACCUUUAAAUCGUUAGUGGUGCUUCUAAUGCAUUAAUCAUUUUAAGCUUUAGACCUCAAAUCAGUCAGGACUACCCGCUGAACUUAAGCAUAUCAAUAAGCGGAGGAA
RNAcentral lists this ribosomal RNA (772 nucleotides) under Symmetrospora symmetrica. RNAcentral describes it as "eukaryotic LSU rRNA". The stretch from base 353 to 505 matches the Rfam family "5.8S ribosomal RNA". Lineage: Eukaryota; Fungi; Basidiomycota; Cystobasidiomycetes; Symmetrosporaceae. The record is from RNAcentral.